UACGUAGGGGGCAAGCGUUAUCCGGAAUCAUUGGGCGUAAAGCGCGUGUAGGCGGUUCCGUAAGUCCGCUCUGAAAAGCCCAGGGCUCAACCCUGGGAGGCGGGUGGAUACUACGGAACUGGAGUACGGAAGAGGAGAUUGGAAUUCCUGGUGUAGCGGUGAAAUGCGCAGAUAUCAGGAGGAACACCAACAGCGAAGGCAGAUCUCUGGGACGUUACUGACGCUGAGACGCGAAAGCGUGGGGAGCAAACAGG
RNAcentral lists this ribosomal RNA (254 nucleotides) under uncultured bacterium. Its description in RNAcentral is "partial 16S ribosomal RNA". It matches the Rfam family "Bacterial small subunit ribosomal RNA", at positions 524 to 776 of the family's 1533-position model. The record is from RNAcentral.